UCGUAUGCGAGUGUUCGGGUGUCAAACCCCUACGCGGAAUGAAAGUGAACGCAGGUGAGAGCUUCGGCGCAUCAUCGACCGAUCCUGAUGUUCUCGGAUGGAUUUGCGUAAGAGCAUACGGGGCCGGACCCGAAAGAAGGUGAACUAUGCCUGUAUAGGGUGAAGCCAGAGGAAACUCUGGUGGAAGCUCGCAGCGGUUCUGACGUGCGAAUCGAUCGUCAAAUAUGGGCAUGGGGGCGAAAGACUAAUCGAACCUUCUAGUAGCUGGUUUCCGCCGAAGUUUCCCUCAGGAUAGCAGUGUUGGACUCAGUUUUAUGAGGUAAAGCGAAUGAUUAGGGACUCGGGGGCGCUAUAUUGCCUUCAUCCAUUCUCAAACUUUAAAUAUGUAAGAAGCCCUUGUUACUUAACUGAACGUGGGCCUUCGAAUGUAGCAACACUAGUGGGCCAUUUUUGGUAAGCAGAACUGGCGAUGCGGGAUGAACCGAACGCGAGGUUAAGGUGCCGGAGUGGACGCUCAUCAGACACCACAAAAGGUGUUAGUACAUCUUGACAGCAGGACGGUGGCCAUGGAAGUCGGAAUCCGCUAAGGACUGUGUAACAACUCACCUGCCGAAUGUACUAGCCCUGAAAAUGGAU
Molecule: ribosomal RNA, 636 nt
Filed under: Cordyceps bifusispora
Lineage: Eukaryota; Fungi; Ascomycota; Sordariomycetes; Hypocreales; Cordycipitaceae
Description: eukaryotic LSU rRNA
Rfam family: Eukaryotic large subunit ribosomal RNA
Source: RNAcentral